This 541-nucleotide ribosomal RNA is filed under the name Boeremia exigua var. exigua. Its description in RNAcentral is "eukaryotic LSU rRNA". The stretch from base 171 to 324 matches the Rfam family "5.8S ribosomal RNA". The record is from RNAcentral. Lineage: Eukaryota; Fungi; Ascomycota; Dothideomycetes; Pleosporales; Didymellaceae.
UCCGUAGGUGAACCUGCGGAAGGAUCAUUACCUAGAGUUGUAGGCUUUGCCUACCAUCUCUUACCCAUGUCUUUUGAGUACCUUCGUUUCCUCGGCGGGUCCGCCCGCCGAUUGGACAAACUUAAACCCUUUGUAAUUGAAAUCAGCGUCUGAAAAAACAUAAUAGUUACAACUUUCAACAACGGAUCUCUUGGUUCUGGCAUCGAUGAAGAACGCAGCGAAAUGCGAUAAGUAGUGUGAAUUGCAGAAUUCAGUGAAUCAUCGAAUCUUUGAACGCACAUUGCGCCCCUUGGUAUUCCAUGGGGCAUGCCUGUUCGAGCGUCAUUUGUACCUUCAAGCUCUGCUUGGCGUUGGGUGUUUGUCUCGCCUUUGCGUGUAGACUCGCCUUAAAACAAUUGGCAGCCGGCGUAUUGAUUUCGGAGCGCAGUACAUCUCGCGCUUUGCACUCAUAACGACGACGUCCAAAAAGUACUUUUUACACUCUUGACCUCGGAUCAGGUAGGGAUACCCGCUGAACUUAAGCAUAUCAAUAAGCGGAGGA